This 23-nucleotide non-coding RNA is filed under the name Cricetulus griseus (Chinese hamster). The record is from RNAcentral. Lineage: Eukaryota; Metazoa; Chordata; Mammalia; Rodentia; Cricetidae.
UGGCUACUGACUCAGACUGGAUG